Molecule: transfer RNA, 72 nt
Organism: Camelus ferus (Wild Bactrian camel)
Lineage: Eukaryota; Metazoa; Chordata; Mammalia; Artiodactyla; Camelidae
Rfam family: tRNA
About the family: Transfer RNA (tRNA) molecules are approximately 80 nucleotides in length.
Source: Rfam
GAGGGCAUAGCUCAGUGGUAGAGUGCAUCCUUAGCAUGCAGGAGGCCCUGGGUUCAAUCCCCAGUACCUCCC